GACGUAGGGUGCGAGCGUUGUCCGGAAUUAUUGGGCGUAAAGGGCUCGUAGGCGGUUUGUCGCGUCGAAAGUGAAAUUCCGAGGCUUAACUUCGGGACUGCUUUCGAUACGGGCAGACUAGAGGUAGGCAGGGGAGAGUGGAACCCCAGGUGUAGCGGUGGAAUGCGCAGAUAUCUGGGAGAACACCGGUGGCGAAGGCGGCUCUCUGGGCCUUACCUGACGCUGAGGAGCGAAAGCGUGGGGAGCGAACAGG
This 253-nucleotide ribosomal RNA is filed under the name uncultured bacterium. Its description in RNAcentral is "partial 16S ribosomal RNA". It matches the Rfam family "Bacterial small subunit ribosomal RNA", at positions 524 to 776 of the family's 1533-position model. The record is from RNAcentral.